UCUUUGAAGUUUGGAUAUUGAUUGCAUCUGACUGAGUGGUCUGGAUGAAAGAGAAUUUAUAUGGUCAACCUUAUUAGUUGGGGAAUGAGGCAUAGUUAAAAACAAAUUAAAUUCAGAAUGAGGCGUAGUUACUUAUCAAAAAUAAAGUGUUUGAAAUCAAGACAUAAACAAGUUGAGCUGUUAUAGUAGCUGUGAUUUAAUCACUCUCUAGUCAUGGUUUAAUGAAUUUUAGGAAUCAACCAUACUCAUU
Molecule: long non-coding RNA, 250 nt
Filed under: Nicotiana benthamiana
Lineage: Eukaryota; Viridiplantae; Streptophyta; Magnoliopsida; Solanales; Solanaceae
Description: long non-coding RNA (NBEN_LNC001300)
Source: RNAcentral